GACGAACGCUGGCGGCGUGCCUAAUACAUGCAAGUAGAACGCUGAAGGAGGAGCUUGCUUCUCUGGAUGAGUUGCGAACGGGUGAGUAACGCGUAGGUAACCUGCCUGGUAGCGGGGGAUAACUAUUGGAAACGAUAGCUAAUACCGCAUAAUAGUAGAUGUUGCAUGACAUUUGCUUAAAAGGUGCAAUUGCAUCACUACCAGAUGGACCUGCGUUGUAUUAGCUAGUUGGUGGGGUAACGGCUCACCAAGGCGACGAUACAUAGCCGACCUGAGAGGGGGAUCGGCCACACUGGGACUGAGACACGGCCCAGACUCCUACGGGAGGCAGCAGUAGGGAAUCUUCGGCAAUGGACGGAAGUCUGACCGAGCAACGCCGCGUGAGUGAAGAAGGUUUUCGGAUCGUAAAGCUCUGUUGUAAGAGAAGAACGAGUGUGAGAGUGGAAAGUUCACACUGCGACGGUAUCUUACCAGAAAGGGACGGCUAACUACGUG
Molecule: ribosomal RNA, 495 nt
Filed under: uncultured bacterium
Lineage: Bacteria
Description: partial 16S ribosomal RNA
Rfam family: Bacterial small subunit ribosomal RNA
Source: RNAcentral